AUUGAACGCUGGCGGCAGGCCUAACACAUGCAAGUCGAGCGGAUGAAGGAAGCUUGCUUCCCGAUUCAGCGGCGGACGGGUGAGUAAUGCCUAGGAAUCUGCCUAUUAGUGGGGGAUAACUCGGGGAAACUCGGGCUAAUACCGCAUACGUCCUACGGGAGCAAGUGGGGGAUCUUCGGACCUCCCGCUAAUCGAAGAGCCUAGGUCGGAUUAGCUAGUUGGUGAGGUAACGGCCCACCAAGGCAACGAUCCGUAGCUGGUCUGAGAGGAUGAUCAGCCACACUGGAACUGAGACACGGUCCAGACUCCUACGGGAGGCAGCAGUGGGGAAUAUUGGACAAUGGGCGAAAGCCUGAUCCAGCCAUGCCGCGUGUGUGAAGAAGGUCUUCGGAUUGUAAAGCACUUUAAGUUGGGAGGAAGGUCUGUAAGCUAAUAUCUUGCAGUCUUGACGUUACCAACAGAAUAAGCACCGGCUAACUCUGUGCCAGCAGCCGCCGUAA
This 500-nucleotide ribosomal RNA is filed under the name uncultured bacterium. Its description in RNAcentral is "partial 16S ribosomal RNA". It matches the Rfam family "Bacterial small subunit ribosomal RNA", at positions 30 to 523 of the family's 1533-position model. The record is from RNAcentral.